Molecule: transfer RNA, 81 nt
Filed under: Nanobdellota archaeon
Lineage: Archaea; Nanobdellati; Nanobdellota
Description: tRNA-Leu
Rfam family: tRNA
About the family: Transfer RNA (tRNA) molecules are approximately 80 nucleotides in length. Their secondary structure includes four short double-helical elements and three loops (D, anti-codon, and T loops).
Source: RNAcentral
GUGAGGGUAGCGAAGUGGUCAAACGCGACCGACUCAAAAUCGGUUCCAUAUGGUUCGAGGGUUCGAGUCCCUUCCCUCACA